RNAcentral lists this ribosomal RNA (460 nucleotides) under uncultured bacterium. Its description in RNAcentral is "partial 16S ribosomal RNA". It matches the Rfam family "Bacterial small subunit ribosomal RNA", at positions 338 to 795 of the family's 1533-position model. The record is from RNAcentral.
CCUACGGGCGGCAGCAGUGAGGAAUAUUGGUCAAUGGACGCAAGCCUGAACCAGCCAUGCCGCGUGAAGGAAGACUGCCCUAUGAGUUGUAAACUGCUUUUGUACGAGGGUAAACUCCGAUACGCGUACCUGUCUGCAAGUAUCUUACGAAUAAGGAUCGGCUAACUCCGUGCCAGCAGCCGCGGUAAUACGGAGGAUUCAAGCGUUAUCCGGAUUUAUUGGGUUUAAAGGGUGCGUAGGCGGUCGGAUAAGUUAGAGGUGAAAUCCCGAGGCUCAACUUCGGAAUUGCCUCUGAUACUGGUAGGCUAGAGAGUAGUUGCGGUAGGCGGAAUGUAUGGUGUAGCGGUGAAAUGCUUAGAGAUCAUACAGAACACCGAUUGCGAAGGCAGCUUACCAAGCUACUUCUGACGUUGAGGCACGAAAGCGUGGGGAGCAAACAGGAUUAGAUACCCGGGUAGUC